RNAcentral lists this ribosomal RNA (274 nucleotides) under uncultured bacterium. RNAcentral's name for it is "partial 16S ribosomal RNA". It matches the Rfam family "Bacterial small subunit ribosomal RNA", at positions 523 to 796 of the family's 1533-position model. The record is from RNAcentral.
AUACGGAGGGUGCAAGCGUUACUCGGAAUCACUGGGCGUAAAGCGCGCGCAGGCGGUCUUUUAAGUUGGAUGUGAAAGCCUACGGCUCAACCGUAGAACUGCAUCCAAAACUAUUAGACUAGAGUGUGGGAGAGGAAGAUGGAAUUAGUUGUGUUGGGGUAAAAUCCGUAGAGAUAACUAGGAAUACCAAAAGCGAAGGCAAUCUUCUGGAACACUACUGACGCUGAGGCGCGAAAGCGUGGGGAGCAAACAGGAUUAGAAACCCUAGUAGUCC